This 300-nucleotide ribosomal RNA is filed under the name uncultured Howardella sp. Its description in RNAcentral is "bacterial SSU rRNA". It matches the Rfam family "Bacterial small subunit ribosomal RNA", at positions 496 to 795 of the family's 1533-position model. Lineage: Bacteria; Bacillati; Bacillota; Clostridia; Eubacteriales. The record is from RNAcentral.
GAUAAGUUGGGGCGAGAGGCGGCGGGAAGACGAAUGAUGCAAGCGUUAUCCGGAUUCAUUGGGUUUAAAGGGAGCGUAGGCGGACUUAUAAGUCAGUGGUGAAAUCUCGCAGCUUAACUGCGAAACUGCCAUUGAUACUGUAGGUCUUGAGUACAGUUGCCGUUGGCGGAAUAUGACAUGUAGUGGUGAAAUACUUAGAUAUGUCAUAGAACACCGAUUGCGAAGGCAGCUAACGAAGCUGUAACUGACGCUGAGGCUCGAAAGUGCGGGGAUCAAACAGGAUUAGAUACCCUAGUAGUC